Molecule: ribosomal RNA, 506 nt
Filed under: Trevathana jensi
Lineage: Eukaryota; Metazoa; Arthropoda; Thecostraca; Balanomorpha; Pyrgomatidae
Description: partial 16S ribosomal RNA
Rfam family: Bacterial large subunit ribosomal RNA
Source: RNAcentral
GAAAACAUUUCUUCCUAGAUUAGGAGGUAAGGCCUGCUCACUGAAAAUUUAAAGAGCCGCAGUAUCCUAACUGUGCUAAGGUAGCAUAAUCAUUAGUCUUUUAAUUGAAGACUGGUAUGAAUGGCUUAACGAGAGAUUGACUUUUUUUAUUAUACAAAUUUAAUUUAAUUUUUUAGUGAAAAAGCUAAAAUUUUUCAGAAAGACGAGAAGACCCUAUAGAGUUUUAUGUUUUUUUAUAUUUUUUAUUAUUAGAUUUUUAAAGAAUUAGUAUAAUUAAACAUUUUGUUGGGGCGACAUUAAGAUAAAAAAAACUCUUAUUUUUUAAAAUUUUUUUAAAAAUGUAAAUUGAUCCUUUAAAAAAGAUUAUAAGAAAAAAUUACCUUAGGGAUAACAGCGUAAUCUUUUUUGAGAGUUCUAAUCGACAAAAAGGUUUGCGACCUCGAUGUUGGACUAAAAUUUAGACAAGGUGCAGCCGCUUUGUUUUUAGGUCUGUUCGACCUAUAAAA